Molecule: small RNA, 86 nt
Filed under: Salmonella enterica
Lineage: Bacteria; Pseudomonadati; Pseudomonadota; Gammaproteobacteria; Enterobacterales; Enterobacteriaceae
Description: partial RtT sRNA
Rfam family: RtT RNA
About the family: This family represents a bacterial cis-regulatory element known as RtT RNA. The exact function of RtT is unknown although it is thought that it may be involved in changing the cellular response in relation to amino acid starvation.
Source: RNAcentral
AUUCUACCCAUGCGGGGAAGGAUGAGAAGCUUCGACUAAGGUUCGAUUCGAGCGCAGCGAGAAAGCGUUGCCGCAGGCAACGACCC